AUUGAACGCUGGCGGCAGGCCUAACACAUGCAAGUCGAACGGCAGCGGGGGAUAGCUUGCUAUCCUGCCGGCGAGUGGCGGACGGGUGAGUAAUGCAUGGGGAGCUGCCCAGUCGAGGGGGAUAACAACUGGAAACGGUUGCUAAUACCGCAUACGCCCUAAUGGGGAAAGGUGGGGAACUUCGGUCCUACCGCGAUUGGAUGCGCCCAUGUGGGAUUAGCUAGUUGGUGAGGUAACGGCUCACCAAGGCGACGAUCUCUAGCUGGCCUGAGAGGAUGACCAGCCACACUGGAACUGAGACACGGUCCAGACUCCUACGGGAGGCAGCAGUGGGGAAUAUUGCACAAUGGGGGAAACCCUGAUGCAGCCAUGCCGCGUGUGUGAAGAAGGCCUUCGGGUUGUAAAGCACUUUCAGUCAGGAGGAAGGUGGUAAGGCUAAUAUCCUUAUCAAUUGACGUUACUGACAGAAGAAGCACCGGCUAACUCCGUGCCAGCAGCCGCAGUAA
This 506-nucleotide ribosomal RNA is filed under the name uncultured bacterium. Its description in RNAcentral is "partial 16S ribosomal RNA". It matches the Rfam family "Bacterial small subunit ribosomal RNA", at positions 30 to 523 of the family's 1533-position model. The record is from RNAcentral.